RNAcentral lists this unclassified non-coding RNA (380 nucleotides) under uncultured fungus. RNAcentral's name for it is "partial contains 5.8S ribosomal RNA and internal transcribed spacer 2". The stretch from base 1 to 133 matches the Rfam family "5.8S ribosomal RNA", at positions 22 to 154 of the family's 154-position model. Lineage: Eukaryota; Fungi. The record is from RNAcentral.
UGGCUCUCGCAUCGAUGAAGAACGCAGCGAAAUGCGAUAAGUAAUGUGAAUUGCAGAAUUCAGUGAAUCAUCGAAUCUUUGAACGCACCUUGCGCUCCUUGGUACUCCGAGGAGCAUGCCUGUUUGAGUGUCAUGUAUUCCUCAGUCCUCUCAGAGUUUUUCUCUUGAGUCUGGACUGGACUUGGAGGCUGCUGGUUUUAUUUUAAAUCAGCUCCUCUUAAAUGAAUUAGUGUGAAUAUUGCCAAAUGUUCUCCAGUGUAAUAAUUAUUUGCGCUGCAUGAACUGAGGCAGAUUUAAUAUGUUCAUGCUUUCUAACCGUCCCCAGCGGACAAUAAUACUUUUUGACAUUUGACCUCAAAUCAGGUAGGACUACCCGCUGA